This 1392-nucleotide long non-coding RNA is filed under the name Ornithorhynchus anatinus (platypus). RNAcentral describes it as "lncRNA (ENSOANG00000045143.1)". Lineage: Eukaryota; Metazoa; Chordata; Mammalia; Monotremata; Ornithorhynchidae. The record is from RNAcentral.
AUGGGCCCUUGUGCGGAGGGAGCUGCCCCUGGGCGACUGGGCAGGAGGAGCCUAAGAUUCCCACCCCUGCCCUUGCAGAGACUGGAGUCAGAAACGGAUGACUAUUCCCUAGCUCAGAGUGAGGGAAUGGAUAUAAAUAAUGGAAACCACCGAAUGAAUAAAUCAAUAACAAGCCGACGCAUAAACCCACGAGCGGCCCCGGCCGCUGGUGGGUUGCCUCGAUCCGGGCCCGGCAACUCAUCAGGGAAGGCCUCCUGGAGGCGGUGGUUUGGUCAUUGGAGGGAGGCGCCGGAGGCAGGGCGAGGCCACCAUUGGGGGGGUCCCCAGGGGCUGGUCAGCAGAGUGAGGGCGGCCCCUUCCCCGGCCACACCCCCGCCCAUCGCCCCGGGACCUCAACAGGUGCCACCUGGCCCGAGCGGGGGCGGGGGGCGGUGCCAGGGCGGGCACCGCCCUCUCCCGCACCGCGUCUCCUCUCGCCGCCCCCCGCCCCCUCCCCGCUCCGGCCGCACCGCACAGCGCUCCCUGCGGCCCUCCCUCUGGCCCUCUGUCCGUCCGUCCUCCCGCCGCCAUGGAGCCGGACCCCGGACCCCCCGGACCCCCCGGACCCCCCGGACCCCCCGGGCCUCCCGGACCCCCCGGGCCCCCCGGACCGCCCUCCCCGCCCGGGGAGCAGGGCGACCGGCUCCGGCUCAGCGAAAGCGGACAGUCCGGCGAUGGCCUCGAGGGCAGAGGUGGGAGACCCCGCUCGGACCCCCGGACCCUGCUUCCCCUCCUUCUCCCCACGCCUCCUUCCCCACCCCUUUCCCUCUCCCCUUCGUCCUCAGCUCCAUCCCCUCCUCCUCCCUCCCCUCUCCCCAUCUCCUUCCCUUAGUCUCCCGCUUCCCCGUCUCCCCUUCCCCAUCUCCCCUUCCCCAUCUCCCCUCUCCCCACCUCCCCUCUCCUUCCCUCCGUCUCCCCCUCUCCCCGUCUCUCCUCUCCCCAUCUCCUUCCCUCCGUCUACCUCCUCCCCAUCUCCCUUCUCCCCAUCUCCCCUCUCCCCAUCUCCCUUCUCCCCAUCUUCCCCCUCCCCAUCUUCCCCCUCCCCAUCUUCCCCCUCCCCAUCUUCUCCCGCCCCAUCUUCCCCCUCCCCAUCUUCCCCCUCCCCAUCUUCCCCCUCCCCAUUCCCUCUCUCCCCAUUCCCUCUCUCCCCAUUCCCUCUCUCCCCAUUCCCUCUCUCCCCAUUCCCUCUCUCCCCAUCUCCUCUCUCCCCAUCUCCUCUCUCCCCAUCUCCUCUCUCCCCAUCUCCUCUCUCCCCAUCUCCCCUCUCCUCAUCUCCCCUCUCCCCAUCUCCUUUCCCCACCUUCCCUCUCCCCAUCUUACCUCUCUACAUCUCCCCCCCAUCUCCCCCCUCCC